GAUGAAGAACGCAGCGAAAUGCGAUACGUAAUGUGAAUUGCAAAUUCAGUGAAUCAUCGAGUCUUUGAACGCACAUUGCGCCCCCUGGUAUUCCGGGGGGCAUGCCUGUCCGAGCGUCAUUGCUGCCCUCAAGCACGGCUUGUGUGUUGGGCCCCGUCCUUCGAUCCCGGGGGACGGGCCCGAAAGGCAGCGGCGGCACCGCGUCCGGUCCUCGAGCGUAUGGGGCUUUGUCACCCGCUCUGUAGGCCCGGCCGGCGCUUGCCGAUCAACCCAAAUUUUUAUCCAGGUUGACCUCGGAUCAGGUAGGGAUACCCGCUGAACUUAAGCAUAUCAAUAAGCGGAGGA
This 345-nucleotide unclassified non-coding RNA is filed under the name soil metagenome. RNAcentral describes it as "partial contains 5.8S ribosomal RNA, internal transcribed spacer 2, and large subunit ribosomal RNA". The stretch from base 1 to 119 matches the Rfam family "5.8S ribosomal RNA", at positions 35 to 154 of the family's 154-position model. The record is from RNAcentral.